This 305-nucleotide ribosomal RNA is filed under the name uncultured bacterium. RNAcentral's name for it is "bacterial SSU rRNA". It matches the Rfam family "Bacterial small subunit ribosomal RNA", at positions 335 to 639 of the family's 1533-position model. The record is from RNAcentral.
AGCCUACGGGAGGCAGCAGUGAGGAAUAUUGGUCAAUGGGCUUACGCCUGAACCAGCCAAGUCGCGUGAGGGACGACGGUCCUAUGGAUUGUAAACCUCUUUUGUCGGGGAACAAAGGCGCCCACGGGUGGGCGGAUAAGUGUACCCGAAGAAAAAGCAUCGGCUAACUCCGUGCCAGCAGCCGCGGUAAUACGGAGGAUGCGAGCGUUAUCCGGAUUUAUUGGGUUUAAAGGGCGCGUAGGCGGACGGUCAAGUCAGCGGUAAAAAUGCGGUGCUCAACGCCGUACAGCCGUUGAAACUGGCAG